This 1636-nucleotide long non-coding RNA is filed under the name Zea mays. Its description in RNAcentral is "long non-coding RNA (ZMAY_LNC001254)". Lineage: Eukaryota; Viridiplantae; Streptophyta; Magnoliopsida; Poales; Poaceae. The record is from RNAcentral.
AUAAUAUUACAUGCAACACCGAAUAUCACAUACAAUAAAGAUUUCAAACACAUUGAUAUAUGUUCAUAUCACAAAUUCACACAAGUCCAAAUAUAUAAGUUCACAAAUUCACAUAAAAUCAAAUACAUAAGUUCACAAAUUCACACAAGUUCACAUCCAUAGUUCACAUUUGUAGUUCACAAGUUCAAACACACAAGUUCAAACAUUAGCUCCAUCGCUCUCGAUCAGGACAUCGGAUUGUUGUUUGUAGCUCCACAACUAGAAUUGAGACAUCUGUCCGCAAAGUCAACGUGAGGGAGAGGAGUCACUUGAUGAGAGCCGGAAUCCUACAAAAUAAACCAAAAUUCUCAUAAAUAUACAACUGGCAUUAAAUCACAUUACCAUGCAAGAAUAUUCGGAAUAAUAUGACCAUUCGUGCUGCUCUACAUUACCAUGCAAGAAACUGUUCGAAUCGAUCGUGCAUAUCUACAUUCAAUAAGAUUCAAUAAUGAACUAGACAACCACAACUGCAUGUUUUUUUAAGAGAAAUAUGUAAAACAUCCAGAAACUAACCGACGAUUUUUUAUUCAACAAUGAUUCGUCCUCAUGAUAUAAUUUAACUGAUUGUAGUCCUGGAUAAAUAUCAAAUAUAGGAGCACUGAGCACACCCUCAAAAGAGAAACACACAGGUUAGUUCCUGGAUGCUUUACACUCCGUUGAUUCCAAUGAUCAUUUCUUACUUAACUCUUAUUCGACUCGCCAAUAAAUUGAAACCAUAUUUUAAGUUAACCCCCAAAGCCCAAACAAACAUCAAAGAAUAAUAGAUCUAUGGUUAUACACACUAUUAUCAAUUUAUCAUUGACACUAGUACUUGGCACUGCAAAAACUCAGUGAGUUGUUACGGACCAUGGGUGCUGCAUUUCUGUUGUGCUAUAGUUUUCCUUUAUGUGCCUCUGUGAUUGCACUUCAUUUGGGCCUAGUGAUGUAAGCAGAACUUGAUACUGUACGGCAAGGCGAAUUGUGUGCAAGUAUUUUCCUUUACGUGUCCGUACUCUAGGUCUCCGUAAUGCAUAAAUAUUCCCUCUCUCUCUCUCUUGGUUACAAUACAUUCGACUUUGUAAGGGAAUCCUCAACUACUAGUCUUUGACCCCUACUCUAGUUUUCAUGGGGUCGCAGCAUUAGCUAACAAAAACUCAAAGAAUAUAGAGAAAGAUAAAACGACCUUGCCUUUGUAUGCAAGGUAGCUUAUAUAAACUAAAAAAAGUGGUGAUUACCUGUGCGCCAUCAUAGAUCACCAAUGAAUCGCUUUGAUCACAGGUUAAUAGUCGCAGGAGAUACUGGCUGAUGGUGGUGGUGACUAACUGAACUUAUCUCCAGUAUGAUUUCCAUAUUUUCCCACUGAUCUUUUGAACUUCAACUGGAUGGAUCAUAUCUGAGUUGAAGCUGCGCAUUGUGGUAUGCUAUACUUGAGAAUCAGAACAAACAGAGAUGAAACCCUCAGCAAGUCAGAUAUUCUUUGUUUCUCCAUUGUCUGUGUCACCUGAUUCCUCUAGCAGGAGACCUAAAAGAGGUAAGGGUAGCAGCGAACUAAGAUUGCAGACGACAAUCAAUAGAGGUAGGUUCCCAAAGGUGUCCCUGGUGACCCCAAAUAUCCGAG